RNAcentral lists this long non-coding RNA (1028 nucleotides) under Lepeophtheirus salmonis (salmon louse). RNAcentral's name for it is "uncharacterized LOC121120513". The record is from RNAcentral. Lineage: Eukaryota; Metazoa; Arthropoda; Copepoda; Siphonostomatoida; Caligidae.
UACAUUUUGAGUAAGAUUUCUCGUAAUCAUAAAGCAAAAUAAAAUGACGAGCCAGCGUUUUCUACACAUAUGUGAUGUCAUUAAAAUGGGCUUGCUUACAUUCAUCAAAUUAUAAAGUUUGUGAACGACACACCUUUAUUAUCCACCACCUUGAUCCAGAUACAACUUAACUUCUAACUGCGAAAAUCAGGGCCUGUAUUUGUGAUGAGACGAAACUACGAAAUUCUUCAGAUAUAUUCUUCAAGAGAUAAGACCAAAGCCAGAUAAAGGAAAUCAAAGAAAAAAACUUAUACCUUAAUCAUCCAUCCCCAAAGAACAGAUUUGACUUUUUCUUUGCAAACGAGAUUCCAACAAUGAUAAGAUCCAUUCACGAUGAGUACGGAAUUUCAAUAUUUAUAAAAAUAAGUUCUUAAUGUAAAAAAAAAAAAAUCAACAAAUUAUUGUUGACAUUAUACAUAUACUAAAUAAAAUGAAACAUGUUUAUACAGAAAUAAAUAGAAAUAUUAGCAGAAUAGAAUAUGCAAUGACAAUACAGACAAAACAAUCGAGAAAAGAGAGGCACAUUAUCUAUUAGAGUUUAAAAUUAUCUACCACUAGUUUUCCAAUGGCCCAGACGUAAUAAAAAAAUCAAUAGUCCAGAAAAAGAGACGAAGGAGAGUCGACCUAAGAAAAGAAGAACAUCAUAAUUUCAAUGAAAGGGCAGUGGAUGGAGGAUGAGAACUCUUUCUGUUUCUCAUAUGGGCAUUCAAUCGAUAGUUCUGUCUUUUUGUGGAACUCAUUAGUUCUUAUAGAAUUAUACGGUUAUUCAGUGGAAGAUUUGAGGAAUUAUUGUAUUUUUUAGUGCAGUGACAAUGAUUCUCAAGAUCAGAAGUGUAAUUGUUAUUUUUAUAAUUUAUUUUGUUACACUUGUUUAAAUUUUUUGUUUGUUCUAUGUCAUCUUUAUAUUUUGCAUUGUAAUAAUAGAGGCCACCAGAGUACGUACAUACAAAACUAAAAUCGUGUUGUUGCAAAUAAAAAGAGACAUGUUA